CCUACGGGGGGCAGCAGUGAGGAAUAUUGGUCAAUGGACGAGAGUCUGAACCAGCCAAGUAGCGUGAAGGAUGACUGCUCUAUGGGUUGUAAACUUCUUUUAUAUGGGAAGACAACAGGGUAUGCAUACCCCCUUGUAUGUACCAUAUGAAUAAGGAUCGGCUAACUCCGUGCCAGCAGCCGCGGUAAUACGGAGGAUCCGAGCGUUAUCCGGAUUUAUUUGGUUUAAAGGGAGCGUAGGUGGAUUGUUAAGUCAGUUGUGAAAGUUGACGGCUCAACCGUAAAAUUGCAGUUGAAACUGGCAGUCUUGAGUACAGUAGAGGUGGGCGGAAUUCGUGGUGUAGCGGUGAAAUGCGUAGAUAUCACGAAGAACUCCGAUUGCGAAGGCAGCUCACUGGACUGCAACUGACGCUGAUGCUCGAAAGUGUGGGUAUCAAACAGGAUUAGAUACCCGAGUAGUC
RNAcentral lists this ribosomal RNA (460 nucleotides) under uncultured bacterium. Its description in RNAcentral is "partial 16S ribosomal RNA". It matches the Rfam family "Bacterial small subunit ribosomal RNA", at positions 338 to 795 of the family's 1533-position model. The record is from RNAcentral.